Molecule: unclassified non-coding RNA, 191 nt
Filed under: uncultured fungus
Lineage: Eukaryota; Fungi
Description: sequence contains ITS1, 5.8S rRNA gene
Source: RNAcentral
UCGAGUUUUGAACGGGUUGUCUGCUGGCUCGCAAGGGCAUGUGCACGCCUGUCUCAUCCACUCUCAACUUCUGUGCACUUUUCAUAGGCCGGCUUGUGGGUGCGUUCGCGCACUUGUAGGUGUCGGGCUUAUGCUUUAUUACAAACGAUUCAGUUUUAGAAUGUCAUACUUUGCUAUAACGCAAUUAUAUA